Molecule: transfer-messenger RNA, 353 nt
Filed under: Clostridia
Lineage: Bacteria; Bacillati; Bacillota
Also listed under: 2 other names
Description: CAG-269 sp001916005 Standard tmRNA
Rfam family: transfer-messenger RNA
About the family: Bacterial tmRNA, also known as 10Sa RNA or SsrA, is named for its dual tRNA and mRNA-like properties.
Source: RNAcentral
GGGGAUGUAAUGGUUUCGACAUUGCACCAGAAAAAUAGAUAGCAAGUAGUGGAUUCUCGUUGGCCACUUUAAAAACGAGAAAAUAAAAUAAACGCUGAUAAACAAGAAUUAGCAUACGCUGCCUAAGUUGCAGUGUCAUCUUACUAAAUAGCCUACUGGUUUAGAUAAGGUGCCGAAUAAAGUAGGAAACGAAACUAUUUUUUCUUUAGAAAUAGUGGGUAAUUUAUAAAGAUAUAUUUAUUUUUAGCCUGUUUGUCGGCGAAAAGUAAAUGAAUUUAAAAGACAAAAUAAACUUGUAGAAGUCUAUUUGGAAAGUGUUAUGGACAGGAGUUCGACUCUCCUCAUCUCCACCA